Molecule: unclassified non-coding RNA, 528 nt
Filed under: uncultured Pelagibacterales bacterium
Lineage: Bacteria; Pseudomonadati; Pseudomonadota; Alphaproteobacteria; Candidatus Pelagibacterales
Description: partial 16S-23S ribosomal RNA intergenic spacer
Rfam family: Bacterial large subunit ribosomal RNA (bases 407-528)
Source: RNAcentral
CCUCCUUUCUAAGGAAAUCGAAAAUAAUAUUUUCGAUUUAAAAAAAACCGGUAAUGUGACCGUCCUCAUUUCUCUUCUUUUAAUGUCUCUGAGUAAAAAUAAUGUAAGGGGCCGGUAGCUCAGGUGGUUAGAGCGCACCCCUGAUAAGGGUGAGGUCGGAAGUUCGAAUCUUCCUCGGCCCACCAAUAUUAUGGGGGAUUAGCUCAGCUGGGAGAGCGCCUGAUUUGCAUUCAGGAGGUCAGCGGUUCGAUCCCGCUAUCCUCCACCAAAAUUUGAGACAUUUAGCUUUUUUAAAUUGUGAAUAAUUUUAUUAUCAAUAUCUAUAUCCGAUUGUUUUCAUAUAUUUUUUUGAAAACAAUCAAAACAAAAAUUUGAAUUUUACACAGAAAGUUUUUUUCUGUGCAUAAAUCAAGCGUUUAAGGGCGAUUGGCGGAUGCCUUGGCACUGUAAGACGAUGAAGGACGUGGUAUACUGCGAUAAGUUUCGGGGAGCUGUAUGCAAGCUUUGAUCCGAAGAUUCCGAAUGGGG